UUCCCACCCAGACAAGCAAGAGGCAUUUUCAGAGUCCAAGGACACAUUCCAGGCAGGUACAAACCCCCAAGGAGGGUGCAAAGCAGGACAAGGGAGGGGUGAGACAUGAGAGGAGUUGCGGCCUGGGGAGACUCCCCGAGACCAAACAGAGAGUCCUGGGGCUCAUCCACCCUGGAGUUUACUGUGUGUUUCCAGCUGUUUGUGUUCCCAUUUAAUUUGCAUCGUCCACAUUUUGCAAUGUCCGUCAACACCAGCCUCAAUGCUUUCCCCCUAUAAAUCCAGUCAGAUGGGGAAAACCAGGCUCCAAACCUCUCCAUUUGGGCCUCACACAAUUUGUUUAAGUGUUUUGGGGUAAAUGGAUCAAUUUCUGCUACACCCAGUCUCUUCCUCAGUGUUUUCAUUUAUUUUCCCUAUGCUCUACGUGGGGCUACCUUGGAAGGUGACUCGGAAACUACAGUGGUACCUCGGGUUAAGUACUUAAUUCGUUCUGGAGGUCCGUUCUUAACCUGAAACUGUUCUUAACCUGAGAUACCACUUUAGCUCAUGGGGCCUCCUGCUGCUGCCGUGCUGCUGCCACAUGAUUUCUGUUCUCAUCCUGAAGCAAAGUUCUUAACCUGAGGUACUACUUCUGGGUUAGCGGAGUCUGUAACCUGAAGCGUCUGUAACCCGAGGUACUACUGUACAGCUAAUCCAGAAUGUGGCAGCUAGACUGGUGACUGGGAGUGGCCACCGAGACCAUAUAACACCAGUCCUGAAAGAGCUACAUUGGCUCCCAGUACGUUUCCGAGCUCAAUUCAAAGUGUUGGUGCUGACCUUUAAAGCCCUAAACAGCCUCGACCCAGUAUACCUGAAGGAGCGUCUCCACCCCCAUCGUUCAGCCAGGAUACUGAGGUCCAGCUCCGAGGGCCUUCUGACAGUUUCCUCACUACGAGAAGCGAAGUUACACGGAACCAGGCAGAAGGCCUUUUUGGUAAUGGCGCCCUCCCUGUGGAAUACCCUCCCUUCAGAAGUCAAACAGAUACAACAGAAACUAUACAACUUUUAGAAGAUGUCUGAAGGCAGCCCUGUAUAGGGAAGUUUUUAAUGUUUCAUGUAGCAAUAUGUGUGUGUGUAUAGGUUUGUGUGUGCCCGUGUGUCCUCCUUUUCAUCUCUCAGAUUUGCACAAAACCAGAAAAGGUACAAGCAAACCACAUUUUUUUAAAAAAUCUGCACCAGAUAAAUUGAGCAGCAAACUGAAAAUUGUGCACCGAGAAUUUACAGUUGCUUUUAUUUAAUUUCCAGACUUCCUGUUUCUGGAGCACUCCUGAAAGGACCUUAUCCCCUUAUAUUGAUCCAUCAGAUUUGCACAAAACCAGAAAACAGCACGAGCAAAUUUGCAACUGCCCAGCUGUGUGGUUUUGUGCAUUUCCUGUGGGGCGGCGGUGGGGGAGAAGAAGAAGAAGAAGAAGAAGAAGAAGAAGAAGAAGAAGAAGAAGCGUGCACAGCUAUCUGUGUAUGUGUUGGUAAUUAAUUGGCAUUAUAGUAUCAACAACUUAGAAGGUGAGGGCAAACACAGCAUGCCUCCUGGAAACACCAAAAUUUCUCCUUUGUAGUUCAGUCAGUAGAUCAUGGGCCUCUUAAUCUCAGGGUUGUGGGUUUGAGCCCCGUGUUGGGCAAAAGCUUCCUGCAUUGCCCUCAUGGUCUCUUCCAACUCUACAGUGAUUCUUUGAUUCUGUGAUUCCACGAAAUUCAAAUACAAGCAGGGGUGGACUACUCUGGUUGAAUUCAAAGGGGGAGGGGAGCGGAUUAACAGCUAUACAGUGGUACCUUGGUUCUCAAACGCCUUGGUUCCCAAGCACCAAAAACCCAGAAGUAAGUGUUCCAGUUUUCGAACGUUUUUGGGAAGCCAAACGUCCGAUGCGGCUGUUGACUACUGUUUCCCGGGUGCCUGCACCAAGCAGAAGCUGCGCCUUGGUUUUUGAACAUUUUGGAAGUCAAACGGACUUCUGGAACGGAUUAAGUUUGAGAACCAAGUUUGAGAACCAAGAGUGGACAUGUCCCUGGAGGCUUACAUUUGCCCACUUUAAACCGUGUCCAAGGCAGAUGAACCUCUCUGCUUGCCUAGUCAUGAUCUCUUUUUUCCCUUCCCUUAUUUUCAAGGCAACUGCCUCCAGGGACCAAAGGCAGCAAUUACUUUGCGAUAUCUUGAGGGCACUGCAGUUGUGACACAGGCUAUUUGCCGCAGAGCCCUGCAUUUUAUUUAUGGGGCCAACGUGAGCUUGUGCUUAAUAUCCAUGUGUGUCUUAUCUCCCCAAAUCUGGCUAAUGGGUGACAUGUUCAGGACAGGGAAGCCCUUUUCCUGAACUAGACUGUUUCCUGCAUUUGUCUCUCAACUACUCUCAAUUAAACACUUAAAGGUUUAUAGAGCACCGUACAGGGCAGGGAAAACUUCCAAGGCUAUGUGAAGAACUCGUGACUAACCUCGCUGGUGGGCACGUGACUGGCCGAUUCAGGACUGGAAGACCUGAGACCUUGGGUACAUAAAGCCACCUGAAUUUCCCAGAGGAACAGAACAUCUCCGGGAGAAGACAUCCAGGACAGGAGAAGCAUCACUGCCUUGUAAGUAGGAACCUCUUUAUUCACUAGUAGAAAGACUCUUAAUCUCAGGGAUGUGGGUUGGAGCCCCAUGUUGGGCAAAAGAUUCCUGCAUUGCAGGGGGUUGGACUAGAUGACCCCUCCGAUCCUUUCCUGCUCUAUAAUUCUAUGAUUAGUUGGUUGUCCCCCAUGUUUCAGAAGCCCGACUGACUUCAGCUAGAAGUCAGGCAUUUAGCUUCUCCACUCACAUGCUGUGGAAAUCCUCUUCUGGCUGAGAUUUGGCAGGCCAGGAGUCCUUGUUGCUAACUUUCAUACAUCUCUUGGCAGGCCUAUUCAGUUGUUUAAAUUUUCCCCUAAAGAGCCAGCCAUUUCUUACGAUCAUUUUUUUUUUAAAAAAAUGGUACCUUAUGUUUUCUUGCACCUGCAUACGUUGUUGUAGUCUGUCUUGACAUUUUAUGCGAGUGGGCGGUUUAGAAAUAGUUUAAUGAAUUUUUUUUAAAAAAAACCAGACUAAUGGGAAAGAAUACAUUUAGUUUCUGGACUGAACAUUAAGGUCUUCUGGUCUCCAGUGGGCUGUAUCACAAAGCCUCUGCGAUAGCCACAUGUAUCUCUUUCCGGCUGUUUCAUUUUAUCACUUUAUUUUAAACUAUACUACCGAUUGUGUAUUAUGAUAACAUUACUGUACUAAUGUUAUUAUAAUACACAAUUUGCAGUACAGUCCCAUGUUUUUAUUCUCGGAUUUUUCCUUUUUUUUAAAAAAAACAUGGUAUCAUGACAGCCACAGACAGACAGGUUCUCUCUCUCUUCCCCCACCCCUGCUCCCUGCUCUAUCCAAGAAACGCAGAAGUUCAUUAAAGGCUUGAAUCUGUAUCUUACUGGGAGAGCUUUUUGUAGAUGCCAGGGUUUCCUGCAUAUCUGAAUUCACAGAUGAUGCGUUGCUGCGGGAACUUUUGCAUACCUCGGCCGCAGCAACUUGUGCACUCAUGCCGUAACAACAGAAGCAGGGGAAGUGAUGAAGAUUGAUUUAUUUCUCAUGCUCCUCUGUGUGCAGAGAAGAAAAAUAUGUACCUUUAUAUCCACAGGCUUUUUCCUCUGCGAAUUCAGGACCGUGGGAUUGGUUUAUUAUUUAUUUAGCAAAGAACAGGUCACCAUUUUUCCUUGAACCGCUCAAAUCAACAUUUAACAUUAUAUUUGGGUUGAUUUAGGCCAGGGGUAGGCAACCUAAGGCCCGGGGGCCGGAUACGGCCCAACCGCCUUCUCAAUCCUGCCCAUGGACGGUCUGGGAAUCAGCAUGUUUUUACAUGAGUGGAAUGUGUCCUUUUAUUUAAAAUGCAUCUCUGGGUUAUUUGUGGGGCAUAGGAAUUUGUUCAUUUUUAUUUUUUUUUUCAAAAUAUAGUCUGGCUGUCCACAAGGUCUGAGGGAUGAUGGACUGGCCCAUAGCUGAAAGUUUUUAAUGUAUGAUUUUAGUGUAUUUUUGGUUUCUGUGGAAGCCGCCCAGAGUGGCUGGGGAAACCCAGCCAGAUGGGCGGGGUACAAAUAAAUUAUUAUUAUUAUUAUUAUUAUUAUUAAAAGGUUGCUGACCCCUGAUUUAGGCUCCAGUCGAGUAAGCCCUACUGAACCCUGCCAGGCUUAAUUCUGAGCAAAGACACAUAGGAUGAGCUGUUCGCCUUAAAUGGUCCCCGUGUAAACGAUGUACUUGGACUGAAGAUCACUUUUAAGAGGCAUUUCCCAAUCACAAAAAUUAGAGGGCAAAAACUUCUGAAGCGGAGCAAAGUUUAGCAGGGUCAGCUUGUCUCCCUUGCUCUCUAUCAAAUCAAUACACCAGCGCAUGGGUGUUAUGGAAGAGGUAAGGUGAAAAAGAGCCUGGUCGACUUUUUAACAGCUCAGCCCCUGUACAUCAAACAGCAGCCCAUAGGCAGAAAGAAACCAAGUGAAGCUUUUCCCAGCACACAGGUGAAGUGAUGGCUUCAUUUGAGCAUGCAGGCCUUCCGUUAAACACAAAGAUACAAGGCUAGUUAACAUAGCAGGGGAUUCUAGGGAGGCCUUUUUGCACCUUGUCUGUCUUAGGGCCGCAGUGAUACAUUUCACCCCCAUUUCUCCAAAGCAGGUGAAUCCAGGAAGCUGCCAAGAUGUGUAGUUGCUGCUUUAGUUCGUGUUCGGGUCAGUGUUCUCUCUGGGACUGUUUUGUGAAUACAGUGAAGAGUUUCCUAAGGCCCUUGAAGCAUUUGCUUUUCGGGUUCAAAGGUAAGACCGGUGGUUUGAUGAAAACAGCAUCACCGUACACCAGCUUUCCCCAGCCUGGUUUCUUCCAGAUGUCUUGGACUACAAAUCCCAUCAUCCUUGAGAACUGGGGAUGAUGGAUGUUGUAGUCCGAAACAUAUGGGGGGCCCAGCAGAUCAGAGAAAGCUGCUGUACAGACACGGAAUUUACUUCUAACAAAAACAUACAGAACAUCUCUGGUUGCUUUUAAAUGAGCUCAUUUAAGGCCUAUUUGUCUUGCUUAGCCUUCCCCAAUUAACCUCUCUUGUUUGAUGUCCUAUGCUGGCCUCACAGGGUUGAGUGUUGAGUGUUUCGUUUCCACUUUUAUUGUAUUAUUCUCCACUAUUCCUGGAAGCUGCCUUGCGAGGAUGUAGCGCUGCAAAACAUGGGAUAGAAAUGUUGUAAAUAAAAGAAUGCUCUCUAGAAGACGGGGCGAAACGUACGCUGUACGAUAAACAAAGGAAAGUUUUCUCAGUUGAGACUUGUGGAACACCAAAAGAGCUUGGAAAGAGCUGAAAAGCACCUCUUUGCCUACAAACACACCACCAGGCGCUAGGAAUCUUCUGGUCCAUUGCUGGCACCUGGCCCUUUGAGCAGGUCCUGAUCUGUGCCACCAGAAACCAACCAAGCUUUGACUCCUGGGGAGACCGCAGCUGAACACCCCUUAGAGGCUCCACCAGUGGGAGAAGGGGCAAGGCAUUCACCUGCCUGAGAGGAAGGAAGGAGCCGAGUUGUUGUCCCUCAGGGUGGUGAGGCAGGGAGUCUAACAGAGAGGGAGGGAGAUGUCCAGUCAAGACCCAGGAGAUGUGCUGGGCAUUUAAAUAAGCUCCUCUGCAGAGAUGGAGGAGGUUUUGAGUACGUGCCUCUCUGGCAGAGGCUAUCCUUAGGUGGUCCCCUCAAGCUCUGUUGGAUAACGCCAUGGAGGGAGCUCCUGCAAGCUAGGUUUACAUAGCCCCCUGGUGCUAUGGUGGAAAGGCACAGAAAUCCCAGACUUGAGACUACCUAGGGCAAGGACAUUGAGGCAGAAUGCCCUGGUUCUCCUGGAUGAGAGUCUCUCCUGGGGUCCUGAGGAAGCUGGCAGCUGAGCCUUACUUCAACAUUGACAAUAGGACAGCAUCCUUCACUGCACCUGAGGGGAGCAGGCUAGCUAGAAGCAGGCAGGGAGGGCAGGCAAGGCAGACUCUAUAUCCUCCCAUGACUUUGCCAAGAAGCUGGCAGAGGCCGAUGGAAGCUGUAAUCCAAAACAUCGGCACUGCACCAGGUUGGCAAAUGCUGCUCUGACACCUUGCUGCCCAAGGAACCUGCUUCCUUUCUGGGUCUCUGGCCUUUUGUGCUUCUCCCCGGUUCACAUGUGUGUGGUGUUUUUUUCCCCAGAACUGCCUGAGCGUCCUCUCGAGGCUCCCAAGCUUCCCAAGGUUGCUGAGAAGACAAAGUGAGGCGGGGCAGAACGUCUGCUGAUUCCCUUCCAUGAUGGACUCGGCCUCCUCUUCUCCUCCAACGCUGGCAGGAGCAUGGAUGGGUCUCCCCC
Molecule: non-coding RNA, 6361 nt
Organism: Podarcis lilfordi (Lilford's wall lizard)
Lineage: Eukaryota; Metazoa; Chordata; Lepidosauria; Squamata; Lacertidae
Source: the annotation of a GenBank genome assembly